Molecule: RNA transcript, 869 nt
Organism: Misgurnus anguillicaudatus (oriental weatherfish)
Lineage: Eukaryota; Metazoa; Chordata; Actinopteri; Cypriniformes; Cobitidae
Source: RefSeq, a predicted model, not a curated record
AUAAUAUAAUAUAAUAUAAUAUAUAAACAAAACAUUAUGUUGUUUUGUUAUGUUAAGUUUAUCUAUAAAAAAUAAUAAAUAAAUUAAUAAAGAAGAGAGAUUUUUUUAACAAAAACAUUAACGCCAUAACGUCGCUGUGACGUAGCUCAUGGGCUCCGCCCCUCCGGCCGGUGACCUGCUGAUGAUGAUGGCUUGUAUGAAACCUGAGGUGUGCUAAAGUCAAGAAUAUGGAUUAAAUUUAAUAUACUUUGUCUGCGGUUCUUGCCUCGACCUGAAGAAUUGAAAAAAUUGGCCAUUGUUAGAAACAUCUACAAUUUAACAGGGUAUCCCCAACGGCUCAUGUUUUUUAUUUGUGGACAUCUUUCAAAGAUUUUCUCCCCAGAAGUAUAGCUUGAGAGAUUCAUGGCCACUGAAUACGAAGGCUGACAGGCGAGGCGGAGAACAUUCAGUCUGUGGAUUCUCGCUUUUGUGGCGCUGGACUAACUUGCGGAAUCGCAUGGACGAUUAUGGUGAAAGAGAAGAAAGGAGAAGAUCAAAGCCGCUGUCAUGCAGGAAUCCAGUUGGCGUGGUUUAUUUUCAAUUUGCCUUUGUAGAAGGUGAAAUAAAGCUUUCUACAAUACAGUUUGGGUGCAGUGCUAUAUGUUUGAUGGCAUAUCAGAGCACAAUAGGCCAGUUUUUUUGGUUUUGUUAGUAUAAAAAUGAUAAUCAUCAGUGUGUGUACUAGUCAAGGGGCAACCUUUCAAUCUAUCUGAUGACUUAAACUGCAAUUCAUCGACAGGCCACUAGAGACAGACUGCAAAAAGAGUCAAUCCCCAUAGACAUCCAUGUAAAAAUGCCCAAUUUUACAGCAGAAAAUAGUAUGUUUACAG